Suricata suricatta (meerkat) is the source of this 854-nucleotide long non-coding RNA. RefSeq lists it as uncharacterized. The record is from RefSeq and is a predicted model, not a curated record. The transcript has 3 exons. Lineage: Eukaryota; Metazoa; Chordata; Mammalia; Carnivora; Herpestidae.
UUCAUGGGGUCAUUCCCAAGAAUGCCAUGGGAUCUGGCUGCUGACAAUGUACUGCUGUCCCCUUUUUUGGAAACUGCCUAGGGCCAAUGGGAGCCCCUUUGACGGAAGUGCCUGGGAAGUGAGGCACCCCCACAAGGGGCAGCCCACAGCCAAUGGCUGACCAACCCAGCAGAUGGAGAAACGUUCUCAUGAGUGCGCAGUCUCUGUGACGCCAGUGUCUGAGUAGAAGUGGCCUCCAAUCAAGUCCCGGUUUUGCCAUUUGAUGGUUGUUUCACUUUGGGUUAGAUUACCUAGCCUCACUGAGCCUUAUGAUCUCGAUCCCCCAGAUGGAGAAGCCCUGGUGUUUCUCUCUUGUGAUGAUUAAAUUAGAGAAGACAUGUUUGUGUUUACACUGCAGCCUGCAGUCCUAUAAGGGCACACAAUGGCUAUGGCUACAAUGGAUGUGACACUUUGACAAGAGUGAGGCCCGCUGUUGACUGGAGGCUUCUGAGCCUGCGACUUACCUCAUCGAAGUCAGCAAUGAUCUCAUUCAGCAGACGCAGGCAUUCCACUCCCUGGUUAUUCAUCUCAGUCUGAGAGUAAAAGUCUGCAAACCCCGGGAUGGAGGCGAACAUCACCCCAACGGCAUCAUAAGAUUGGGAAUACAGCUCCUGGAUGGGGAGAGACAGAGAGGAUGCCAGACACAGUCGUGAGAGGUUUCACUCCCGUCUCGGACCUCCAGCCUAAGUGGAAAGAAUCACCACACAGAUAUUGCUCAUGUCUUCGGGGACACCUCUGCAGGUUGGUGUGGUCACUGCCCCCAAGUCCACGAGUCUCUUGACCUUCCUUGUUUCAGCGAUGAGGUAAUUGUUGUC